AUGAGUAUAGUUGGCCAAACGGGCCAGGCCAACCAGGCCAUCCCGCGAGCACGCCGGCACGGCCGCCAUGGGCCAGGCACGACACGGGCUAAACGGGCAGUGCCCAGCACGCGGCAUGCCUUGGGGUGUGCAUGGGCCUGGAGGCUGUGCACACCACAGGCCGGCACGACAAGGCUCGUUUAUUAUAUACGUAAAAUAGAACCCAAUAGGCCUAAAAAUCAGCCUAACAGGAAGCAGCUCAAGGUCAAAAUGAUGGUGCAAAAGAUUAAAGAAAAUUUGGAAGGUGAUCAAAAGGUCCUGGUCAUACUCAAUGUUUAUGAAAAGUAUGUACCCCAAUGGGAGGAGACCAGAAACAGUUUUAGCCUUUUGGAGCUCGGGUGCCCCAUCGCUGGUGCUGUGAUCGUGGCCACAAAGACCACUCAACAGGACAACAAUCAAUAUUUUCGCUCUCCAAAGCUGGACCGUAUGGAAUAUUCUCUUGUUGGCCUCUACCUUGAUGCUCUGGUACAUAAUACAGGCAAGCAUUUGGAUGAUACAGGCACCCGCCAGAUUCUUCGCGACAUCUUGCGCGAGUGUGAGCAGCAUGAAUUCUGCAUGAAGAUCUUUGCUCAUGCAUUGUACACCAAACCCAAGAGGAGCAAUGAAGAGUUGAGCAACUUGCACAACACCUUGUGUGCCGCUGCCACACAAAAAUCAUUGCCCAGUAUGAUGUUCAAAUUCUCCUACGGGGAGCUACCUAAAGAGUACAUGUCCUGUUUGCUGUACCUCGCUAUCUUCCCUAAAGGACAAACCAUCAGGCGAUCAACCUUGAUAGGACGAUGGGUUGCAGAAGGGAUGAUAACCACCAAAGAGUGGCGCUGGUCUUCUUCAGUGGAUGAAGCUGAGAAAAGUUUUGAUACGCUCGUCGCCCGGAGCCUUGUUUGUCCCGCUGGCACUGGAGCUACUGGAAAGGUCAAGAGCUGCACGGUGGAUAAGCUAGUUUAUGGAAUCAUUACCAAGAACAUCGCCACGAAGCAGCGGCGCAGCAUAUUCUGGAGACACUCCUGUCACUUCUCCAUUUUCAGCGAUGUCCACCUCCGCAGCUCUGAGACAAUCGAGAAUUUCUUGGAAAAGUCAUCUCAGUUCUCCAAGCUCAAGGUGCUAGAUCUAGAAGGCUGUCAAUGCUUCCCAGAGUGCCAACACUACCUGAGUGACCUAUGCAAGAAGAUACUAAUGCUCAAAUAUCUUAGCCUAAGGGGAACCCUGUGUUACCAGGCUACCCGGUGA
RNAcentral lists this ribosomal RNA (1266 nucleotides) under Triticum aestivum (bread wheat). RNAcentral describes it as "partial small subunit ribosomal RNA". Lineage: Eukaryota; Viridiplantae; Streptophyta; Magnoliopsida; Poales; Poaceae. The record is from RNAcentral.